This is a long non-coding RNA of Dendronephthya gigantea, 1161 nucleotides long. RefSeq lists it as uncharacterized. NCBI's taxonomy places the organism in Eukaryota, Metazoa, Cnidaria, Anthozoa, Malacalcyonacea, Nephtheidae. The record is from RefSeq and is a predicted model, not a curated record. The transcript is spliced from 4 exons.
GCUUGCAACGCUUACUACUUUGCGCCUGGGUACGAGGUUGCCUCGUGGAUAAGAGCCUUGUUUUCAUCGUCGUAAUAUAUUGUGAUAAACAUGACACCAUUUUGUUGUGAUGGUCUGGGAACAAAGCGCUAGUAAAUUAUGUUUUUGGACAAUUUAUCGCCAUCCUGAUAUGGUUGAUUCAAAUAUGAACAGUUCUGGCAAAGACUUAAUCUUGACGUAGGAAAUACUUCCCGCUUGUAAACACGCAAGUACAUGCACGAAAAGGCAUCUGAAAAAUCAACAAACUCAGUGGAGACUGAUGAUGCAUGAGUGUCUGAAGAUGUCAAGGUGGCUGAUGUGAUAUAGAAUAUCUAUAUCUGUGCGCAGUAGACAAUGACCGAUUUGAAUGCGGAAAAAAGGAAAAAUAUAUACCCGCACUAUAUCUCAUUGGUGAAAAUGACUUGCUGUCGACAAUUACGACUAAACGUAAACAAGGUUAAAUCGGCUGAAGUUUUAAAGACCUUGCCAUAUGCAUACUCUUGAAUAAAGGAAGCGAAGAAGACAUAUUCCCAAUAAGGUCGUGAAAUGGAUCAAAAGGAAUGCACCAUGAUGAAAGUAAGGGUAAAGCUUCUUUUUCCGUUUAGAAGAUUAAAUUUUCAUGGAUUUAGGUUUGUAUAUUCCUAAAGGUAAGUCACUUGAAACAACUGUACUAAUGCAGUUUUGUAUUUCAAAUGUUUGUGUUAAACCGUUGUUUUAUUCAUAUAUAGUAUAUGCUGAUAAUUAUUUAACUAAUCAAACAUGUUGUUUGUUUUAGCUACGUCUCUGAUCUGUUUAUAUAUUGCAUGAUUUUUGUCUGGAAGGGAAGACAUUGAUUUGAUGCCUCUCCGAAAGUUUUUUUUGACUUUCAUCUGCCAGACUUUGAGUUCCAAGGAAAAGAUUGAAUCUCAACAUGAAAAUAGUUUGUUUUUUGCGAGUUUUUGCAAACUAUGUCAUAUUUCUUGUUGUAAUUGAAUCUUAAAUUUCUUGGAACAUCUUCGCGAUGUUUGUGCAAAUUGCUCAAACUCAUCGCAAUGCGCUUAUGUUAAAUUUGUUCUUAAUUCAUUGCAUGCUUACUGCUUACUGAUCAGUGUAUGGCCCAGUUUAUACGUCGUAUUUUGGUCGCGUCGAAUGCAAUUCAAACAA